AAUAGAUACCCGGGUAGUCCACGCCGUAAACAAUGGAUGCUAGCUGUAUUCGGUAUCGACCCCGGAUGUAGCGAAGCUAACGCGUUAAGCAUCCCGCCUGUGGAGUACGAGCGCAAGCUUAAAACAUAAAGGAAUUGACGGGGACCCGCACAAGCGGUGGAGCGUGUUGUUUAAUUCGAUGGUAAACGAAGAACCUUACCCAGGCUUGACAUCCUAGGAAGGUCUACGAAAGUAGACUGUGCCUUGUGAGCCUAGUGACAGGUGAUGCAUGGCCGUCGUCAGCUCGUGUCGUGAGAUGUUUGGUUAAGUCCAUCAACGAGCGCAACCCUUAUGUUUAAGUUGAAUUUCUCUAAACAGACUGCCCUGGUAACAGGGAGAAGGGGGGAUGAUGUCAGGUCAGUAUUCCCGUUACGUCUGGGGCUACAAACACGCUACAAUGGCCGGUACAAAGGGCAGCCAAGUCGCGAGACGGAGCAAAUCCCGAUCAAAGCCGGUCUCAGUUCGGAUUGGAGGCUGAAACUCGCCUCCAUGAAGCCGG
Molecule: ribosomal RNA, 538 nt
Filed under: uncultured bacterium
Lineage: Bacteria
Description: bacterial SSU rRNA
Rfam family: Bacterial small subunit ribosomal RNA
Source: RNAcentral